UAUAAGGACAUAAAAUGUGUACCUACUUUUAGCUAUCAUAGUUUGAGAUCAAAACCUUGUUGAUUUCUUCUUUUGUAGCAUGUUAACACUUACUGGCUGAGAGAUUGUCUAGAUACUCCAUAAUCUGGAUAACCGACCUCUCCUUAGUUUAGCAGAGUGGUUUAAGAGCUGGGCUCUGGAGUCAGACUGCCUGGUUUCACCACCAUUAGCUUACUUUACUUCACCGCCAUUAGAUUACUUUAAUCCUUUCCUUUGUGCCUCAGUUUACUCAACUGUAACGAGGAGAUGCUUAGAAUAGUGUUUAGGACUGUGCCUGACAUACAAUACUCUGUAAUCAUUAAUUACUGUGGUAUCAUUUAUUAUUAUAUAUUUCUCCUGCUACUGUCCUUGCUUCUCAUGCUCCUGCUCAGGCUUUUUGUACUUGGUGUUCUGGGCCUGAAUUCUGCCCUCCUCCAAUAGCUGUAUGGUUUACUUCUUCAUUUCCCUUGGGUCUCAGCUCAGGUGUCACCUUUAAAUGUGUUUGUUCCUUAUCACCCUGAAGGAAACCAAACCCUACUCUCAUUUUCUGUGUUUAGCAGGGAUGAAUCCAGAUUUUGUAGGGCUUGAAGUUUGUGUAAUUUUGGGGGCUCUCAUUAAGUAAACCAGUUAAAUGAGAAUAAAAAGUUUGGUAUUACAAGUUACUGAAUAUUUUUUAGUUGUAGGAGGUAAGAAUAAUGGAGUAAAUACAGGUAAAAAUUACCCACUGUUGUUAUCAGAGUUUUCUUCCAACGUGUGUAUAUCCUUAAAAUCCAUUUUUGGAUUCCUGUUGUUCUUACAGUGCCUCAGGAAUAGAUAGAUGACUUAUGAUCUCUCACUAUCCCUGUGCAGUCCUCUCUCUCCAUGUCAAUCUUAUGAGGUGACAAAGUUGACAGAAAUAAAGCAUUG
Molecule: long non-coding RNA, 924 nt
Organism: Mustela erminea (ermine)
Lineage: Eukaryota; Metazoa; Chordata; Mammalia; Carnivora; Mustelidae
Exons: 3
Source: RefSeq, a predicted model, not a curated record